Molecule: ribosomal RNA, 572 nt
Filed under: uncultured Chloroflexota bacterium
Lineage: Bacteria; Bacillati; Chloroflexota
Description: bacterial SSU rRNA
Rfam family: Bacterial small subunit ribosomal RNA
Source: RNAcentral
CUGACGCUGAGGCUCGAAAGCGUGGGGAGCGAAGCGGAUUAGAUACCCGCGUAGUCCACGCCCUAAACGGUGGACACUAGAUAUAGGAGGUAUCGACCCUUUCUGUGUCGAAGCUAACGCCUUAAGUGUCCCGCCUGGGGAGUACGGACGCAAGGCUGAAACUCAUAAGGAAUUGACGGGGGCCCGCACAAGCAGCGGAGCGUGUGGUUUAAUUCGAUGCUACACGAAGAACCUUACCAGGACUUGACAUGGCAGAAGUAGGAAUCCGAAAGGAAAACGACCUGUAUCCAGUCAGGAGCUGUCACAGGUGCUGCAUGGCUGUCGUCAGCUCGUGCCGUGAGGUGUUGGGUUAAGUCCCGCAACGAGCGCAACCCUUGUCUUAUGUUAAAUUCUCAUAGGAAACUGCCUUGUACAGCAAGGAGGAAGGAAAGGAUGACGUCAAGUCAGCACGGCCUUUAUAUCCUGGGCCACACACACGCUACAAUGGACGAUACAGAGGGUUGCCAAGGAGCGAUCCGGAGGUAAUCCCCGAAAAUCGUCCUCAGUUCGGAUUGCAGGCUGAAAUCGCCUGC